GACGAACGCUGGCGGCGUGCCUAAUACAUGCAAGUCGAACGAAGCUUUUUUAACUGGUGCUUGCACCGACUUAAACAACUGAGUGGCGAACGGGUGAGUAACACGUGGGUAACCUGCCCCAAAGCGGGGGAUAACAUUUGGAAACAGAUGCUAAUACCGCAUAACCACAGAAACCACAUGGUUUCUGUGUCAAAGAUGGUUUCGGCUAUCACUUUGGGAUGGACCCGCGGCGUAUUAGCUAGUUGGUAAGGUAAUGGCUUACCAAGGCAAUGAUGCGUAGCCGAACUGAGAGGUUGAUCGGCCACGUUGGGACUGAGGCACGGCCCAAACUCCUACGGGAGGCAGCAGUAGGGAAUCUUCCACAAUGGACGAAAGUCUGAUGGAGCAACGCCGCGUGAGUGAAGAAGGUUUUCGGAUCGUAAAACUCUGUUGUCAGAGAAGAACGUGUGCGAGAGUAACUGUUCGUGCAGUGACGGUAUCUGGCCAGAAAGCCACGGCUAACUACGUGCCAGCCGCCGCGGUAA
This 524-nucleotide ribosomal RNA is filed under the name uncultured bacterium. RNAcentral's name for it is "partial 16S ribosomal RNA". It matches the Rfam family "Bacterial small subunit ribosomal RNA", at positions 28 to 523 of the family's 1533-position model. The record is from RNAcentral.